This is a long non-coding RNA of Anoplophora glabripennis (Asian longhorned beetle), 722 nucleotides long. RefSeq lists it as uncharacterized. The record is from RefSeq and is a predicted model, not a curated record. Lineage: Eukaryota; Metazoa; Arthropoda; Insecta; Coleoptera; Cerambycidae. The transcript has 3 exons.
GUCAUAGAAAACUUAUAUUAUAUAUUUUCUGUGGUGGAAUGUGAAUUUUGGUUAACAAAUAAUUCUUUUAAUUGAUUACAUUGUUUUUACGGGAAAUUUAUUAAAAUAUGUUUCUUAAACAAUGUUGAUUUUACAAUAGAGGUGUUCUGAAAACCACAUAAAAUGUAUAGUGUUGUAACUCGGGCUGAUUCUAAAUAAUUACCCUGGAAUAGGGCACUUCUAACAGUUCUAACAUGGUUCUAACUGAUUCGGUUGGCUUCCGGAUUGUGUCUUUACUAAAACUUACUGAAAUAACGGAAGAAGGAAGGUGUGAAAUUUCAUUCUCUAAAGGAACAGAAAGCUGAAGCAAUCAGCAAAACAUCAGAACAUUACAUUGAAAUACAAAAGCCAUAGGAGGCGAUAUAAACAUGCAGUUAGAUGAUGUGAAAACCACAAAUCCUAAUAAAAAUUAAAGACAAGUAUCAGUACACAGGACAAUUAGGUGGUUAAGAAGAUCAAAAUGCUGAUACUCAAAAUAUUUUCCCAAUUCUCCAGGGAACAUUGCUUGAAAACUUGAGAAUUAUAAUAUAAGUGCAAACAACAAACAACCAUGUAAAGAGAAAUAAGAAUGGAUACGCUAUUGGAGGGUUGAGAUAACUAUUAUAUUACCAUCUGUUAAUCCUUGGAAUUUUGCUAACCAUCCACGUCCUCCGUUGUGUACUGAUGAUCCGUAUACAAUCUCA